AUGAACGCUAGCGGCAGGCCUAAUACAUGCAAGUCGAACGGGUGGUCGCAAGACCACUAGUGGCGCACGGGUGCGUAACGCGUAACCAACCUGCCCCGAUCUGGGGGAUAGCCCGCCGAAAGGCGGAUUAAUACCGCAUAUACCCGCAGCCUGGCAUCAGGCAACGGGGAAAGAUUUAUUGGAUCGGGAUGGGGUUGCGUGACAUUAGCUAGUUGGCGGGGUAAGGGCCCACCAAGGCGACGAUGUCUAGGGGACCUGAGAGGGUGAUCCCCCACACUGGCACUGAGAUACGGGCCAGACUCCUACGGGAGGCAGCAGUAGGGAAUAUUGGGCAAUGGGCGAGAGCCUGACCCAGCCAUGCCGCGUGCCGGAUGAAGGCCUUCUGGGGUGUAAACGGCUUUUCUCAGGGAAGAAAAAGACCUUGCGAGGUACACUGACGGUACCUGAGGAAUAAGCACCGGCUAACUCCGUG
RNAcentral lists this ribosomal RNA (472 nucleotides) under uncultured bacterium. RNAcentral describes it as "partial 16S ribosomal RNA". It matches the Rfam family "Bacterial small subunit ribosomal RNA", at positions 29 to 507 of the family's 1533-position model. The record is from RNAcentral.